This 292-nucleotide ribosomal RNA is filed under the name uncultured bacterium. RNAcentral's name for it is "partial 16S ribosomal RNA". It matches the Rfam family "Bacterial small subunit ribosomal RNA", at positions 505 to 796 of the family's 1533-position model. The record is from RNAcentral.
GUGCCAGCAGCCGCGGUAAUACGAAGGGGGCUAGCGUUGCUCGGAAUGACUGGGCGUAAAGGGCGCGUAGGCGGAACGUACAGUCAGACGUGAAAUUCCCGGGCUCAACCUGGGGGCUGCGUUUGAUACGUGCGUUCUUGAGUAUGGAAGAGGGUCGUGGAAUUCCCAGUGUAGAGGUGAAAUUCGUAGAUAUUGGGAAGAACACCGGUGGCGAAGGCGGCGACCUGGUCCAUUACUGACGCUGAGGCGCGAAAGCGUGGGGAGCAAACAGGAUUAGAUACCCUAGUAGUCC